AGACCCGAAACCCGGUGAUCUAGCCAUGGGCAGGUUGAAGGUUGGGUAACACUAACUGGAGGACCGAACCGACUAAUGUUGAAAAAUUAGCGGAUGACCUGUGGCUGGGGGUGAAAGGCCAAUCAAACCGGGAGAUAGCUGGUUCUCCCCGAAAGCUAUUUAGGUAGCGCCUCGUGAACUCAUCUCCGGGGGUAGAGCACUGUUUCGGCUAGGGGGCCAUCCCGGCUUACCAACCCGAUGCAAACUGCGAAUACCGGAGAAUGUUAUCACGGGAGACACACGGCGGGUGCUAACGUCCGUCGUGAAGAGGGAAACAACCCAGACCGCCAGCUAAGGUCCCAAAGUCAUGGUUAAGUGGGAAACGAUGUGGGAAGGCCCAGACAGCCAGGAUGUUGGCUUAGAAGCAGCCAUCAUUUAAAGAAAGCGUAAUAGCUCACUGGUCGAGUCGGCCUGCGCGGAAGAUGUAACGGGGCUAAACCAUGCACCGAAGCUGCGGCAGCGACACUUUAGUGUUGUUGGGUAGGGGAGCGUUCUGUAAGCCGUUGAAGGUGUCCUGUGAGGG
RNAcentral lists this ribosomal RNA (562 nucleotides) under Salmonella enterica. RNAcentral describes it as "partial 23S ribosomal RNA". It matches the Rfam family "Bacterial large subunit ribosomal RNA", at positions 711 to 1269 of the family's 2925-position model. Lineage: Bacteria; Pseudomonadati; Pseudomonadota; Gammaproteobacteria; Enterobacterales; Enterobacteriaceae. The record is from RNAcentral.